RNAcentral lists this ribosomal RNA (313 nucleotides) under uncultured bacterium. Its description in RNAcentral is "bacterial SSU rRNA". It matches the Rfam family "Bacterial small subunit ribosomal RNA", at positions 28 to 339 of the family's 1533-position model. The record is from RNAcentral.
GACGAACGCUGGCGGCGUGCUUAAUACAUGCAAGUCAACUAAGUCUUUUGCAGCAAUGUAAAAGAUUUGGUGGCGCACGGGUGAGUAUAACGUAGGCAAUCUACCAAAAGGUCUGACACAACCUGCCGAAAGGCAGGCUAAUAUCAGAUGGAUACAAAAGCAGGCAUCUGUUUUUUAUCAAAGCUUCGGCGCCUUUUGAUGAGCUUACGCCCCAUUAGANAGUUGGCGGGGUAAUAGCCCACCAAGUCUACGAUGGGUAACUGGUCUGAGAGGAUGAUCAGUCACACUGGAACUGAGACACGGUCCAGACUCC